AAGUCGUAACAAGGUCUCCGUAGGUGAACCUGCGGAGGGAUCAUUAACACUUCUACUGAAGGAGGAAACUCUUUCUAUACACUCGUGAACUUAACUUAUGCCUUGAUUGGUCUAUAUUUUUAUAUAGGCUGGUCUCACUUUUUCUAUUAUUAUCUUAACUCUAUCCAACCUUAACUAAAUAUUACAAAUCAAUAUUAUGACUGUAAUGGUCCUAAUAUGUUGUUAUAUAAAGUAACAUUUAAGCACAACUCUUAGCAACGGAUAUCUCGGUUCUC
RNAcentral lists this unclassified non-coding RNA (275 nucleotides) under fungal sp. Its description in RNAcentral is "partial internal transcribed spacer region". The stretch from base 1 to 46 matches the Rfam family "Eukaryotic small subunit ribosomal RNA", at positions 1786 to 1831 of the family's 1831-position model. The record is from RNAcentral. Lineage: Eukaryota; Fungi.